RNAcentral lists this ribosomal RNA (2920 nucleotides) under Vibrio cholerae O1 biovar El Tor. RNAcentral's name for it is "23S ribosomal RNA". It matches the Rfam family "Bacterial large subunit ribosomal RNA". The record is from RNAcentral. Lineage: Bacteria; Pseudomonadati; Pseudomonadota; Gammaproteobacteria; Vibrionales; Vibrionaceae.
GUUGUAUGGUUAAGUGACUAAGCGUACACGGUGGAUGCCUGGGCAGUCAGAGGCGAUGAAGGACGUACUAACUUGCGAUAAGCGCAGAUAAGGCAGUAAGAGCCGUUUGAGUCUGCGAUUUCCGAAUGGGGAAACCCAACUGCAUAAGCAGUUACUGUUAACUGAAUACAUAGGUUAACAGAGCAAACCGGGGGAACUGAAACAUCUAAGUACCCCGAGGAGAAGAAAUCAACCGAGAUUCCGGUAGUAGCGGCGAGCGAACCUGGAUUAGCCCUUAAGCACUCGGUGAAGUAGGUGAACAAGCUGGAAAGCUUGGCGAUACAGGGUGAUAGCCCCGUAACCGACGCUUCAUCGAGCGUGAAAUCGAGUAGGGCGGGACACGUGAUAUCCUGUCUGAAUAUGGGGGGACCAUCCUCCAAGGCUAAAUACUCCUGACUGACCGAUAGUGAACCAGUACCGUGAGGGAAAGGCGAAAAGAACCCCUGUGAGGGGAGUGAAAUAGAACCUGAAACCGUGUACGUACAAGCAGUAGGAGCACCUUCGUGGUGUGACUGCGUACCUUUUGUAUAAUGGGUCAGCGACUUAUAUUCAGUGGCAAGGUUAACCGUAUAGGGGAGCCGUAGCGAAAGCGAGUCUUAACUGGGCGCUCAGUCUCUGGAUAUAGACCCGAAACCGGGUGAUCUAGCCAUGGGCAGGUUGAAGGUUGAGUAACCAUCAACUGGAGGACCGAACCGACUAAUGUUGAAAAAUUAGCGGAUGACUUGUGGCUAGGGGUGAAAGGCCAAUCAAACUCGGAGAUAGCUGGUUCUCCCCGAAAGCUAUUUAGGUAGCGCCUCGGACGAAUACUACUGGGGGUAGAGCACUGUUAAGGCUAGGGGGUCAUCCCGACUUACCAACCCUUUGCAAACUCCGAAUACCAGUAAGUACUAUCCGGGAGACACACCGGCGGGUGCUAACGUCCGUCGUGGAGAGGGAAACAACCCAGACCGCCAGCUAAGGUCCCAAAGUAUUGCUAAGUGGGAAACGAUGUGGGAAGGCUCAGACAGCUAGGAUGUUGGCUUAGAAGCAGCCAUCAUUUAAAGAAAGCGUAAUAGCUCACUAGUCGAGUCGGCCUGCGCGGAAGAUGUAACGGGGCUAAGCAAUACACCGAAGCUGCGGCAAUGUCUUUUAGACAUUGGGUAGGGGAGCGUUCUGUAAGCCGUUGAAGGUGAAUCGUAAGGUUUGCUGGAGGUAUCAGAAGUGCGAAUGCUGACAUGAGUAACGACAAAGGGGGUGAAAAACCUCCUCGCCGGAAGACCAAGGGUUCCUGUCCAACGUUAAUCGGGGCAGGGUGAGUCGACCCCUAAGGUGAGGCCGAAAGGCGUAAUCGAUGGGAAACGGGUUAAUAUUCCCGUACUUCUGACUAUUGCGAUGGGGGGACGGAGANGGCUAGGUGGGCCAGGCGACGGUUGUCCUGGUUCAAGUGCGUAGGCUUGAGAGUUAGGUAAAUCCGGCUCUCUCUAAGGCUGAGACACGACGUCGAGCUACUACGGUAGUGAAGUCAUUGAUGCCAUGCUUCCAGGAAAAGCCUCUAAGCUUCAGAUAGUCAGGAAUCGUACCCCAAACCGACACAGGUGGUCGGGUAGAGAAUACCAAGGCGCUUGAGAGAACUCGGGUGAAGGAACUAGGCAAAAUGGUACCGUAACUUCGGGAGAAGGUACGCUCUUGAUGGUGAAGUCCCUCGCGGAUGGGAGCUGACGAGAGUCGCAGAUACCAGGUGGCUGCAACUGUUUAUUAAAAACACAGCACUGUGCAAAAUCGCAAGAUGACGUAUACGGUGUGACGCCUGCCCCGGUGCCGGAAGGUUAAUUGAUGGGGUUAGCGCAAGCGAAGCUCUUGAUCGAAGCCCCGGUAAACGGCGGCCGUAACUAUAACGGUCCUAAGGUAGCGAAAUUCCUUGUCGGGUAAGUUCCGACCUGCACGAAUGGCGUAAUGAUGGCCACGCUGUCUCCACCCGAGACUCAGUGAAAUUGAAAUCGCUGUGAAGAUGCAGUGUACCCGCGGCUAGACGGAAAGACCCCGUGAACCUUUACUACAGCUUGGCACUGAACAUUGAACCUACAUGUGUAGGAUAGGUGGGAGGCUAUGAAGACGUGACGCCAGUUGCGUUGGAGCCGUCCUUGAAAUACCACCCUUGUAUGUUUGAUGUUCUAACUUAGACCCAUUAUCUGGGUUGAGGACAGUGCCUGGUGGGUAGUUUGACUGGGGCGGUCUCCUCCCAAAGAGUAACGGAGGAGCACGAAGGUGGGCUAAUCACGGUUGGACAUCGUGAGGUUAGUGCAAUGGCAUAAGCCCGCUUAACUGCGAGAAUGACGGUUCGAGCAGGUGCGAAAGCAGGUCAUAGUGAUCCGGUGGUUCUGUAUGGAAGGGCCAUCGCUCAACGGAUAAAAGGUACUCCGGGGAUAACAGGCUGAUACCGCCCAAGAGUUCAUAUCGACGGCGGUGUUUGGCACCUCGAUGUCGGCUCAUCACAUCCUGGGGCUGAAGUCGGUCCCAAGGGUAUGGCUGUUCGCCAUUUAAAGUGGUACGCGAGCUGGGUUUAGAACGUCGUGAGACAGUUCGGUCCCUAUCUGCCGUGGGCGUUGGAAGAUUGAAGGGGGCUGCUCCUAGUACGAGAGGACCGGAGUGGACGAACCUCUGGUGUUCGGGUUGUGUCGCCAGACGCAUUGCCCGGUAGCUAAGUUCGGAAUUGAUAAGCGCUGAAAGCAUCUAAGCGCGAAGCGAGCCCUGAGAUGAGUCUUCCCUGACAGUUUAACUGUCCUAAAGGGUUGUUCGAGACUAGAACGUUGAUAGGCAGGGUGUGUAAGCGUUGUGAGGCGUUGAGCUAACCUGUACUAAUUGCCCGUGAGGCUUAACCAUACAACACCCAAGGGGUUUUGUA